CAACCUGCCGACAGCACUGGGAUAGCCUUUCGAAAGAAAGAUUAAUACCGGAUGGCAUAAUUAUUCCGCAUGGGAUAAUUAUUAAAGAAUUUCGGUUGUCGAUGGGGAUGCGUUCCAUUAGGCAGUUGGCGGGGUAACGGCCCACCAAACCAACGAUGGAUAGGGGUUCUGAGAGGAAGGUCCCCCACAUUGGAACUGAGACACGGUCCAAACUCCUACGGGAGGCAGCAGUGAGGAAUAUUGGUCAAUGGACGAGAGUCUGAACCAGCCAAGUAGCGUGAAGGAUGACUGCCCUAUGGGUUGUAAACUUCUUUUAUACGGGAAUAAAGUGAGCCACGUGUGGCUUUUUGUAUGUACCGUAUGAAUAAGGAUCGGCUAACUCCGUGCCAGCAGCCGCGGUAAUACGGAGGAUCCGAGCGUUAUCCGGAUUUAUUGGGUUUAAAGGGAGCGUAGGCGGGUUGUUAAGUCAGUUGUGAAAGUUUGCGGCUCAACCGUAAAAUUGCAGUUGAUACUGGCGACCUUGAGUGCAACAGAGGUAGGCGGAAUUCGUGGUGUAGCGGUGAAAUGCUUAGAUAUCACGAAGAACUCCGAUUG
Molecule: ribosomal RNA, 594 nt
Filed under: uncultured Bacteroidota bacterium
Lineage: Bacteria; Pseudomonadati; Bacteroidota
Description: bacterial SSU rRNA
Rfam family: Bacterial small subunit ribosomal RNA
Source: RNAcentral